ACACCGCCACCACUCUCCUCGAAUUCCCACACUUCAACUCCCGCCAUGUCCUCCGUCGCAUUCGGCGGCGCCUCCAUCACUUCUCGCCUUCUUCCCUCCUCCUCCGCAAGAACCUCCCUCUCCCAAUCCUCCUCCUCACUCAAGCCCCUGGGCUCCGCUCCCCUGAUUUCCCACCUCUUCCUAAACCCCAAACCCCGCUCGUUGCCUCACGCGCGUACCCGACAGUACAGCCCAGCCGCCGCCCCCAAAUGCCAGGCUUCCG
RNAcentral lists this long non-coding RNA (262 nucleotides) under Malus domestica (apple). RNAcentral's name for it is "long non-coding RNA (MDOM_LNC018543)". Lineage: Eukaryota; Viridiplantae; Streptophyta; Magnoliopsida; Rosales; Rosaceae. The record is from RNAcentral.